CCUUUGGGUUGUGGGAUAACACCCCGAAAGAGGUGCUAAUACCCAAUAGAGUUACCUGACAUAAGUCAUUUAAUGAAAGAUGGCCUCUGCUUGCAAGCUAUCGCCCAGAGAUGGACACGCGGUCUAUUAGCUAGUUGGUGAGGUAACGGCUCACCAAGGCUGCGAUGGAUAGCUGGCCUGAGAGGGUGGUCGGCCAUACUGGGAUUGAGAUACGGCCCAG
RNAcentral lists this ribosomal RNA (220 nucleotides) under uncultured bacterium. Its description in RNAcentral is "partial 16S ribosomal RNA". It matches the Rfam family "Bacterial small subunit ribosomal RNA", at positions 129 to 334 of the family's 1533-position model. The record is from RNAcentral.